CCUACGGGAGGCAGCAGUGGGGGCUUUUGCACACUGUGGGGAACCCUGAUGCAGCGACGCCGCGUGGGUGAAGACGCGCCUCGGCGCGUAAAGCCCUGUCAGCCGGGAAGAAAAUGCCGGUACCUGAAUAAGAAGCCCCGGCUAACUACGUGCCAGCAGCCGCGGUAAUACGUAGGGGGCAAGCGUUCUCCGGCUUUACUGGGUGUAAAGGGGGCGCAGACGGCGAUGCAAGCCAGAAGUGAAAGCCCGGGGCCCAACCCCGGGACUGCUCUUGGAACUGCGUGGCUGGAGUGCAGGAGGGGCAGGCGGAAUUCCUGGUGUAGCGGUGAAAUGCGUAGAGAUCAGGAGGAACACCAGUGGCGAAGGCGGCCUGCUGGACUGCAACUGACGUUGAGGCCCGAAAGCGUGGGGAGCAAACAGGAUUAGAUACCCGUGUAGUC
Molecule: ribosomal RNA, 440 nt
Filed under: uncultured bacterium
Lineage: Bacteria
Description: partial 16S ribosomal RNA
Rfam family: Bacterial small subunit ribosomal RNA
Source: RNAcentral